This 72-nucleotide transfer RNA is filed under the name bioreactor metagenome. RNAcentral's name for it is "tRNA-Thr". It matches the Rfam family "tRNA". Rfam says of the family: Transfer RNA (tRNA) molecules are approximately 80 nucleotides in length. The record is from RNAcentral.
GCCGAUAUAGUUCAACGGUAGAACUGCGGUUUCGUAAACCGUCAAUGGUAGUUCGACUCUACCUAUCGGCUC